UUGACUGUGCAAAGGUACCAUAAUCAUUAGUUUUUUAAUUAAAAGCUUGUAUGAAUGGUUGGAUGAGGUAAAAUCUGUCUCUAUUUAAUUAAAAUUAAAAUUUAAUUUUUAAGUUAAAAAGCUUAAAUAAUUAUAAAAGACGAGAAGACCCUAUAGAUCUUUAUAUUAAAUUAAAUAAUUUUAUUUAAGAUUUAUAUAAUUUUUAUUUAUUUUAAUAUUUUAUUGGGGUAAUAAAAAGAUUGAAGUAAUUCUUUUUUAUAUUUUUUUAUUAUUAAUUAAUAAUUUUAUGAUCCAUUUUUUAUGAUUAAAAGAUUAAGUUACCUUAGGGAUAACAGCGUAAUUUUUUUAAAGAGUUCUUAUCGAUAAAAAAGUUUGCGACCUCGACGUUGGAUU
This 393-nucleotide ribosomal RNA is filed under the name Lacconectus andrewesi. Its description in RNAcentral is "partial 16S ribosomal RNA". Lineage: Eukaryota; Metazoa; Arthropoda; Insecta; Coleoptera; Dytiscidae. The record is from RNAcentral.